Molecule: ribosomal RNA, 2816 nt
Filed under: human gut metagenome
Description: bacterial LSU rRNA
Rfam family: Bacterial large subunit ribosomal RNA
Source: RNAcentral
AGAGCGCAAGGGGAAUGCCUUGGCACUGGGAGCCGACGAAGGACGUAGCGAUCUACGAUAAGCCACGGUGAGCCGAAAGCAGGCAUCGACCCGUGGAUUUCCGAAUGGGGCAACCUGGCUGAAUAGAACUCAGUCAACAUACGGUGAAUAAAAUAGUCGUAUGUAGGGAACCGCCUGAACUGAAACAUCUAAGUAGGGCGAGGAAAAGAAAUCAACCGAGAUUCCGCAAGUAGUGGCGAGCGAACGCGGAAGAGGCCAAACCGAGAGUAGUAAUACUUUCGGGGUUCGGACAGCGGACGGUAUGCUGAAGGUUAGCAGAAGGACAUGGGACGGUCCACCAAAGAGAGUGAGAGUCUCGUAUGCGAAAACUGAAAGCAGCCAGCUGAAUCCAGAGUACCGCCGGACACGUGAAACCCGGUGGGAAUAUGGGGGGACCAUCCUCCAAGCCUAAAUACUACCCAGUGACCGAUAGCGUAUAGUACUGUGAAGGAAAGGUGAAAAGAACCCCGGGAGGGGAGUGAAAAGAACCUGAAACCUUGUGCUUACAAGCACACAAAGCACGUCAACGUGUGAUGUGGUACCUUUUGUAGAAUGGUCCGGCGAGUGAAUGUAACUGGCGAGGUUAAGUUCUUAAGGAACGGAGCCGAAGCGAAAGCAAGUCUGAAUAGGGCGUCUUAGUCAGUUGUAUUCGACCCGAAACCGGGUGACCUAUCCAUGUCCAGGAUGAAGUUAAGGUAAAACUUGAUGGAGGUCCGAACCCACGGUCGUUGAAAUGCCCGGGGAUGAGAUGUGGAUAGCGGAGAAAUUCCAAUCGAACCCGGAUAUAGCUGGUUCUCUCCGAAAUAGCUUUAGGGCUAGCCUCGACUGAACAUUACCGGAGGUAGAGCACUGAAUGGGCUAGGGGCCGAGAGGUUACUGAACCCUAUCAAACUUCAAAUGCCGGAAAAUGAUAGUCGGGAGUCAGACUGCGUGAGAUAAGUUUCGUAGUCGAAAGGGAAACAGCCCAGACCCACAGCUAAGGUCCCAAAGUACGGUUAAGUGGAAAAGGAUGUGGAGUUGCACAGACAACCAGGAUGUUGGCUUAGAAGCAGCCACUCAUUAAAAGAGUGCGUAAUAGCUCACUGGUCGAGUGACUCUGCGCCGAAAAUUUAACGGGGCUAAAUCGUACACCGAAGCUUGGGAUGUAUCUAUGAUACAUGGUAGGAGAGCGUUGAAUGCGGGGUGAAGUCAGAGCGAAAGCGCUGGUGGACUGCAUUGAAGUGAGAAUGCCGGAAUGAGUAGCGAGAUUUAUGUGAGAAUCAUAAAGGCCGAAAGACUAAGGUUUCAGAAGGAAGGUUCGUCCGCUUCUGGUUAGCCGGGAGCUAAGGUGAGGCCGAAAGGCGUAGCCGAUGCACAUACGGUGGAGAUUCCGUAGCCGUCAAAAUAUUUAAGCAAAGGGACACUUAUGAAGGACAUGACCCGGGCGAUGGUAGCCCCGGGCGUAAGGGACUGAAAACAAGUAGGGAAGCAUGUUUGGAUUAAGGCGAGAAAAGCUUUGUGUAUAUAUUAGACGUCCGUACCGCAAACCGACACAGGUAGUCAGGAAGAGGAUUCUAAGGCCAACGGGAGAAGGGUAGUUAAGGAACUCGGCAAAUUGACCCCGUAACUUCGGGAUAAGGGGCGGUGCGCAAGCACCCGCAGUGAAUAGGUCCAGGCGACUGUUUAUCAAAAACACAGCUCUCUGCUAAAUCGAAAGAUGACGUAUAGGGGGUGACACCUGCCCGGUGCUGGAAGGUUAAGAGGAGGAGUGCAAGCUCCGAAUUGAAGCCCCAGUAAACGGCGGCCGUAACUAUAACGGUCCUAAGGUAGCGAAAUUCCUUGUCGGGUAAGUUCCGACCCGCACGAAUGGUGUAACGAUCUGGACGCUGUCUCAACUGCCCACCCGGCGAAAUUGUAGUACCGGUGAAGAUGCCGGUUACCCGCGGCAAGACGGAAAGACCCCAUGGAGCUUUACUGUAACUUGAUAUUGGGUCUUGGUAUUCUAUGUACAGGAUAGGCGGGAGACUAUGAAACAUACACGCCAGUGUGUGCGGAGUCACCCUUGGGAUACCGCUCUUAGAGUACUGAGAUUCUAACCUGCGGCCGUGAAUCCGGUCGGGGGACAUUGUCAGGUGGGCAGUUUGACUGGGGCGGUCGCCUCCUAAAAGGUAACGGAGGCGCUCAAAGGUUAGCUCAGCACGGUCGGAAACCGUGCCUCUGAGUGCAAACGCAAAAGCUAGCCUAACUGCGAGGCUGACGGGCCGAGCAGUAACGAAAGUUGGAGUUAGUGAUCCGGCGGUAUGUGAAUGGAAAUGCCGUCGCUCAACGGAUAAAAGCUACCCUGGGGAUAACAGGCUGAUCUCCCCCAAGAGUCCACAUCGACGGGGAGGUUUGGCACCUCGAUGUCGGCUCAUCACAUCCUGGGGCUGUAUUCGGUCCCAAGGGUUCGGCUGUUCGCCGAUUAAAGUGGUACGCGAGCUGGGUUCAGAACGUCGUGAGACAGUUCGGUCCCUAUCUGUCGUGGGCGCAGGAUAUUUGAGGAGUGCUGUCCUUAGUACGAGAGGACCGGGAUGGACGCACCUCUGGUGCACCAGUUGUCACGCCAGUGGCACAGCUGGGCAGCUAUGUGCGGAACGGAUAAACGCUGAAAGCAUCUAAGCGUGAAGCCGCCUCCAAGAUAAGAUAUCCCAUAGCAUAAGCUAGUAAGACCCCUCAUGGACUAAGAGGUUGAUAGGCUGCAUGUGUAAGCGCGGUGACGCGUUUAGCUUGGCAGUACUAAUAGGUCGAGGGCUUGACUU